AUUGAACGCUGGCGGCAUGCCUUACACAUGCAAGUCGAACGGCAGCACGGGAGCAAUCCUGGUGGCGAGUGGCGAACGGGUGAGUAAUAUAUCGGAACGUGCCCAGUCGUGGGGAUAACGUAGCGAAAGCUACGCUAAUACCGCAUACGAUCUACGGAUGAAAGCGGGGGAUCGCAAGACCUCGCGCGAUUGGAGCGGCCGAUAUCAGAUUAGGUAGUUGGUGAGGUAAAGGCUCACCAAGCCGACGAUCUGUAGCUGGUCUGAGAGGACGACCAGCCACACUGGGACUGAGACACGGCCCAGACUCCUACGGGAGGCAGCAGUGGGGAAUUUUGGACAAUGGACGCAAGUCUGAUCCAGCCAUUCCGCGUGCAGGAUGAAGGCCCUCGGGUUGUAAACUGCUUUUGUACGGAACGAAAGGUUUCUAUUAAUACUAGGAGCUCAUGACGGUACCGUAAGAAUAAGCACCGGCUAACUACGUGCCAG
RNAcentral lists this ribosomal RNA (486 nucleotides) under uncultured bacterium. Its description in RNAcentral is "bacterial SSU rRNA". It matches the Rfam family "Bacterial small subunit ribosomal RNA", at positions 30 to 511 of the family's 1533-position model. The record is from RNAcentral.